UUUCAAAUUAUAUCAAGAAUGAGUUAUUGUUUUGAUGGUUAAACAUUAGUGAAUUUAUCUUUAAGGUCCUACCUUCAAUUUCCUUCCCAGCAAAUAAUUUAACUUUUUGACGAAAAACCCUUAUUUUAAUGUGUUGGCCAUCCAAGCCUAGUUAACCUAGGUAUAAAUAUCAUUUUUUUACUAAUAAUCAGCCUUUAAUCCUCCUCCUCACUGCCCUAGCCGUUCCUCUCCUCCUCUCCUUCUAUUUGAUUUUAUUUUUUUUCCUUUCCUCCAUUGUUGUCGUCGCCU
This 288-nucleotide long non-coding RNA is filed under the name Gossypium barbadense (sea-island cotton). Its description in RNAcentral is "long non-coding RNA (GBAR_LNC015493)". The record is from RNAcentral. Lineage: Eukaryota; Viridiplantae; Streptophyta; Magnoliopsida; Malvales; Malvaceae.